CCCCAUUUAUGAAAGCAACUUCUCAUAUGAACACCAGGCCACAACAGAAAUACAACCAGGACCACCAGAAUGGAGUCAGUCAAGAUGAAAAUGAAACUCGUUCAGGAGGCUUCAUUUGAGUCUCUCAUCUGUGUUCAGAAUAAGGGAGAGAAGUGGCAGGGGUGUGUGCGCAUGCAAGAUCUCCAGUCUGACAGGGUGGACAAACCCUGAGACAGUGAGUUCUUCAUCUCAAGGAUGGAUUUCCUGAGAAAACUGCUACAAACAUGCCUGAAACUGGGAUCCUGUGACAUCCCUUUCACAACUCUCACUGGCCCAUCUCAGAGGAGCUGAACACUGAAAAUAGACUCAAGAAAGAAGACCUGGAGUGAAAAGUUUCCCACAUUCUGGUGGGAACUGAAGAGCAGGAAAGGCUCCCUUCAGACCCUCUUUGUGGAGAGAAAAGCAGACUAGAGGAAAGUCAUUUUCCCUAGAGGAAAGUCAUUUUCUGGCAUAGAUAUAUCAGAGACAGGUAAAUAAUCACCUUCUGACCCUCCACUGGGUAGCUCCCUGUAGACUGUAUUUGAUGGUCUUCCCAAGGACAGGUAUGUACACCACACAAUGGGGUGAGAUGGAGUGGCUCUGUCUUGUCAGGCCCAGCCUUCCAAAUGCAUUCACUCAAUUCUGGGGAAAAAGAACAGCCUGUUCAGAGUACUGUGUUCCCAUGUCUCAGUUUACCUGGGAGCCUUUCUGAUAAACCUGCUGGGAUCAUUUGUUCUGCCAAGAGAAGGGAGGAGUUAUCCUUUGUUCCUUUUUUUUUGUUUAAUAAUUAUUCUCAAUUGACUACAUUUCCCUUGU
Molecule: long non-coding RNA, 834 nt
Organism: Erinaceus europaeus (western European hedgehog)
Lineage: Eukaryota; Metazoa; Chordata; Mammalia; Eulipotyphla; Erinaceidae
Exons: 3
Source: RefSeq, a predicted model, not a curated record